AGGUGCUUGCACCUUUCAAGCGAGUGGCGAACGGGUGAGUAACACGUGGAUAACCUGCCUCAAGGCUGGGGAUAACAUUUGGAAACAGAUGCUAAUACCGAAUAAAACUUAGUGUCGCAUGACACAAAGUUAAAAGGCGCUUCGGCGUCACCUAGAGAUGGAUCCGCGGUGCAUUAGUUAGUUGGUGGGGUAAAGGCCUACCAAGACAAUGAUGCAUAGCCGACCUGAGAGGGUAAUCGGCCACACUGGGACUGAGACACGGCCCAGACUCC
Molecule: ribosomal RNA, 272 nt
Filed under: uncultured Leuconostoc sp.
Lineage: Bacteria; Bacillati; Bacillota; Bacilli; Lactobacillales; Lactobacillaceae
Description: partial 16S ribosomal RNA
Rfam family: Bacterial small subunit ribosomal RNA
Source: RNAcentral